UACGUAGGUGGCAAGCGUUGUCCGGAUUUACUGGGCGUAAAGAGCGCGCAGGCGGUCGAUCAAGUCGCGUGUGAAAGCCCCCGGCUCAACUGGGGAGGGUCACGCGAUACUGAUCGACUCGAAGGCAGGAGAGGGUAGUGGAAUUCCCGGUGUAGUGGUGAAAUGCGUAGAGAUCGGGAGGAACACCUGUGGCGAAGGCGGCCGUCUGGGCCGACCCUGACGCUGAGGCGCGAAGGCGUGGGGAGCGAACGGG
Molecule: ribosomal RNA, 253 nt
Filed under: uncultured bacterium
Lineage: Bacteria
Description: partial 16S ribosomal RNA
Rfam family: Bacterial small subunit ribosomal RNA
Source: RNAcentral